This 559-nucleotide long non-coding RNA is filed under the name Mus pahari (shrew mouse). Its description in RNAcentral is "lncRNA (MGP_PahariEiJ_G0032897.1)". The record is from RNAcentral. Lineage: Eukaryota; Metazoa; Chordata; Mammalia; Rodentia; Muridae.
AAGACUCAGGGGUCGGUCCCUAGAGUGAGAAAGGAAGGGAAGGGAAAGGGGGGAGGGAGAAAGAAGCAAACCUGUUGUAAUCAAGUCAUCUGUGAACAUCUUGGCAUGGAAUAAUGUCAAGCAUGUCCUCAAAUUAUCCACUUCAUUUGUUACACAUUUUCAAAUGCCCGCCUUUAGUUCACCCACAAUGAAGUUUCCUAAGUAUUGUAGUUAAAGUACCUCACACUGGAUGACUGGAAACUCAGCCCCUCGCCCAUCGAGUGACUCACGUCUCUGUUGAUGGUGCCGGUGUAGCUGCCCAUCCCAAAUUGGGUGCAGAGCCCACAGGCUGCAUCGGACUCCGCGAGGCCACGCGACACAAUAACGAGUCGGCAGACCAUGAAGGCUACUUCCUCAACAAGUUGAGAGUGUGACCUACAGCACAAUUUCUGAUACUUGACAAUUCAGUAUUCAAGGGCCAUAAGAAGUUAUGGCAGGAGUCAUCAGUCUAACAUCGCCCAGUAAAAAGGUCUACUAAACAGCAGGUAUCCAAUAAAUUAUUAACUACUAAUGAGAAAAA